Molecule: non-coding RNA, 728 nt
Organism: Macaca mulatta (Rhesus monkey)
Lineage: Eukaryota; Metazoa; Chordata; Mammalia; Primates; Cercopithecidae
Source: RefSeq, a predicted model, not a curated record
AAAGGAAAACCCAGAAGGCAUUACCUUCAGAAUGUACACUUAUUUCCUUCCCUUCUCACCAUUAUACUUAUCAGGUGUCAGCUGGCUCUAUGGGUGACUAGUUCUUCAUACUGCAGGACACACAUGCUGAUAUUGUUUGGGCAAACUUAUCCUGAGGGUAUGAUAGAUUUACCACUCUGGGAAUACAUAUUUGGAAUGAAGAUAAAAUCAUCUUCCAACCUGCCCUGUGACAAUCUCAUCUCAGAACUUCAGAUCUAAGCAGGUAGCAACGGCCGGUGCUGAUGCCUAAAAUGAAAGUCUUCCAGGAAAGAAGAAAUGGCAUUUUUUUCUACCCAAAGAUGAAUGAGCAAAACAUGAGUUCAAUUUCCUCUCCAUCCAUUCCAUCUAAACCCCCACCCUACAAAAAGUGAAGAAGCUGGGAUUUCAGGAGCUUCUGGAGAGAGAGAGCUCUGUGGUACAAUACCACAAAAGGUGGCAGAGAUGGCAUUUGAGACUAGUGCUGAAGGGCACAUGCUCAGGAAGAAACAACCCUACCUGGAGAAUUGCCUCACAGACUCCUAUUUCAUGCAGUACUAAGCUUCCUUCUUCAUAGAGUCAAUGAAUAUUCAGCCCAUCCAAUUCAACAACAACAAAAAAAGCAAUUUCCCUUGAUGCCUGUUAACAAAUGCAUUACAAGCCUCAGAGACUCUGCUGAUUAACAUUAAACAAAAUAAAAUCUCAAGUAAGAA